CAAACAUCAGCAAAGAGGAGCAGAGUGACGCAGUUACAGCAGACAUGUCCGUGUUCUCUGUUUCUGCUGAUCUGACUCUUAGUUUGUCCUAAAAGUCUGAGUCUGUUGGUAUUUUCACUCAAUAACUGAACCUGAGUUUAAACCUGACGACACAAGAUUAA
Molecule: long non-coding RNA, 161 nt
Organism: Oreochromis aureus
Lineage: Eukaryota; Metazoa; Chordata; Actinopteri; Cichliformes; Cichlidae
Exons: 3
Source: RefSeq, a predicted model, not a curated record